AACGAACGCUGGCGGCAUGCCUAACACAUGCAAGUCGAACGAGACCUUCGGGUCUAGUGGCGCACGGGUGCGUAACGCGUGGGAACCUGCCCUUAGGUUCGGUAUAACUCCCCGAAAGGGGUGCUAAUACCGGAUAAUGUCUUCGCACCAAAGAUUUAUCGCCAUUGGAUGGGCCCGCGUUGGUUUAGCUAGUUGGUAGGGUAAAAGCCUACCAAGGCGACGAUCCAUAGCUGGUCGGAGAGGAUGCCCAGCCACACUGGGACUGCGACACGGCCCAGAAUCGUACGCGAGGGAGCAGUGGGGAAUAUUGGACAAUGGGCGAAAGCCUGAUACAGCAAUGCCGCGUGAGUGAUGAAGGGCGUAGGGUUGUAAAGCUCUUUUACCCGGGAUGAUAAUGACAGUACCGGGAGAAUAAGCUCCGGCUAACUCCGUG
This 433-nucleotide ribosomal RNA is filed under the name uncultured bacterium. RNAcentral's name for it is "partial 16S ribosomal RNA". It matches the Rfam family "Bacterial small subunit ribosomal RNA", at positions 29 to 507 of the family's 1533-position model. The record is from RNAcentral.